AACGAACGUUGGCGGCGCGGAUUAGGCAUGCAAGUCGAACGAGACUCAGUGGUGUAGCAAUACACUGCUGGGAAAAGUGGCGAAAGGGGCAGUAAUGCGUGGAUAAUCUACCCUGGGGAUGGGGAUAGCCGUCCUAACGGACGGGUAAUACCCAGCGACGUGGCGAAGGCGCAUGUUUUUGCCACCAAAUGAAUUUCGCCCUGGGAGGAGUUCACGUGAUAUUAGCUUGUUGGUGGGGUAACGGCCUACCAAGGCAAAGAUGUCUAGCAGGUGUGAGAGCACGACCUGCGCCACUGGCACUGAGACACUGGCCAGACUCCUACGGGAGGCUGCAGUCGAGGAUCUUCGGCAAUGGGCGCAAGCCUGACCGAGCGACGCCGCGUGUGCGAUGAAGGCCUUCGGGUUGUAAAGCACUGUCGAGGGGGAGGAAGCCGAAAGGUUGACCUAUCCCUGGAGGAAGCACGGGCUAAGUUCGUGCCAGCAGCCGCGGUAAGACGAACCGUGCGAACGUUGUUCGGAAUCACUGGGCUUAAAGGGCGCGUAGGCGGCUUGCCAAGUCGGGGGUGAAAUCUUUCGGCUCAACCGGAAAAGUGCCUUUGAUACUGGCAGGCUAGAGCGAGGUAGGGGCAGCUGGAACUUCCGGUGGAGCGGUGAAAUGCGUUGAUAUCGGAAGGAACGCCGGUGGCGAAAGCGAGCUGCUGGACCUCUUCUGACGCUGAGGCGCGAAAGCCAGGGGAGCAAACGGGAUUAGAUACCCCGGUAGUCCUGGCCCUAAACGAUGGGUACUAGGUUGUGGACUUGACAUGGGUUCACAGCCGAAGCAAAAGUGUUAAGUACC
RNAcentral lists this ribosomal RNA (838 nucleotides) under uncultured bacterium. RNAcentral's name for it is "bacterial SSU rRNA". It matches the Rfam family "Bacterial small subunit ribosomal RNA", at positions 28 to 868 of the family's 1533-position model. The record is from RNAcentral.